This 253-nucleotide ribosomal RNA is filed under the name uncultured bacterium. RNAcentral describes it as "partial 16S ribosomal RNA". It matches the Rfam family "Bacterial small subunit ribosomal RNA", at positions 524 to 776 of the family's 1533-position model. The record is from RNAcentral.
GACGAAGGAUGCAAGCGUUAUCCGGAUUCAUUGGGUUUAAAGGGAGCGUAGGUGGCCUUAUAAGUCAGUGGUGAAAUCUCGCAGCUUAACUGUGAAAUUGCCAUUGAUACUGUAGGGCUUGAGUACAGAUGCCGUUGGCGGAAUAUGACAUGUAGUGGUGAAAUACGUAGAGAUGUCAUAGAACACCGAUUGCGAAGGCAGCUGACGAAACUGUAACUGACACUGAGGCUCGAAAGUGCGGGGAUCAAACAGG